This 239-nucleotide long non-coding RNA is filed under the name Fukomys damarensis (Damara mole-rat). RNAcentral describes it as "lncRNA (ENSFDAG00000025644.1)". Lineage: Eukaryota; Metazoa; Chordata; Mammalia; Rodentia; Bathyergidae. The record is from RNAcentral.
CUGAGAAUGGGAAAUUUUUUAAACACUUGACUCGUCAGACCCUUUGAGCUGAAUGAUGACAGAGUUCAAGAAAUCAUUUCCACUGUGAGGAAUGCAGUUGCCCAUUGAGGAAGCUUUGGGAAGGACAGCCAAAUACCAGUCAAAGUCAUCAAGGAUUCAGGCCAUCUUCAAAUAGCAACACCCUCAAAUAUGAACUCCUUAUGAAUGAACAUCCAAUACUGGAAGAAAGUAGUUUUGAA